Molecule: long non-coding RNA, 1575 nt
Organism: Bos taurus (domestic cattle)
Lineage: Eukaryota; Metazoa; Chordata; Mammalia; Artiodactyla; Bovidae
Source: Ensembl
CUUCAGCCAAGUGUGAUUUAGUAGAGGGAAAAAUUAAAAGAUCUGGGUGGGAAACAAAUUAUGAACCCUCUCUGACUGUAUGUGUUCAUCUGUUUGGGACCGAUCCAUACCUCCAGAGAUUGUGUUAGGAUGAAAUAGGUUUGUGAAAUUGCUCUUUAUACAGAAAAGCACUAUUCAAAUAUUGGGUAUCAUCCCUAUUUCAAAAUCUGGAUUGCUGAAGUUCAAUUUAAUAAGAUGGGUUUUAUUUUAUUUUUUUUCAUGCAUGGAAAGAACUUGUUUACAAGGGUGAAGAGCUCCCUGUGAGUAUGGAAGCUUAUCAGGAACUCCUCUACCAUUUCCAGGAGUCCAGAGGGCUACCCUGUUUGCAAAGUGUUAUCAAGGAGCGGGGUGUUCAGAAAAACAAACUCGCCUGUCCUGGGGUGGCCAGAUUAAGGUCUGUCUCCUCCAAAAACCUCCUGGGAUAACUUCAUCUCAGUUCUCUCUCUGCCUCAGAAUGACUAGAGCCUGCCACUAGAUUCAAUUCAACAAUAACUUUGUGGGGAAAAGGUCACUUUGCUGGGUGCCGGGGUAGGGGGUGAGGGUGGUGAGAUCUGAGAUGGAGAGAGGGCUCAAGGGCAGAGCCUGCAGUCCACCGGCCUGGUCCUCAGGAAUUCACGGUCUGCAGAUGGACACUUGUUGGACAUUCACACCCUAUCAGGAGUUGGGAGAUGAGGCACAAAGAAGUCAAUUUAACAAUUAUCAGCUCUGGUCAAAUAUUGACGAAGAGCUUCAUUAGGUGACUACAAUGAAAAUACUAUUACCUGAGAUUUAUUUAUUUAUUGCCUAAUUUAACUCAGCUAAUCAAGAAUCAAUGAUAUUCCUGCAGUAGAGAACACAGAGGCAGCACAGCAAUGAUGCGCUGCAGAUAGAAGUACCUCUUCUCAAUUCCUCCCAGACUGGAUGAUGCAUCAGAAAACAGCUUUACAGCAGGCCUAUUCUGCCAACUAGGAUGGAGACUGGAAGGCAUGCCUUUGGAGAGUUUAAAUUUAUGUUUCAACAACCCCAUGUGAAAUAAAGGUCUGGUUGAUUAAUCAGUUUCUUGAGUCAAUGAAGAGAGCCAGUCAAAAGUAUUCUAACUCUGGAAGGGAUUUCUAACCUGAAUAAUCUACCUUAACAGCCCAAUACAUCAAUUAACUGUAUAGUGAUCAUUAUCAAAUUACCAAUUUCACUUAGCUUAUAUGAUUUUAGUGCUAUGUAGACACAAAUUCGAAUUUUGCAUCGAUGUAGGCUCCCUUUCUUCUGUACUUUCUUUAUGACCUGACUUUGUAUGCUUAUAAUAUAAUUUUUAUUAUAAAUAAAUAUCUAUUCUAAAAAAAGUAAAUUUCUUUUUUUAUUAAAUCUCUUUACUUACAAUUCAGGCUAUGUUGGAGGAGGAAAUGGCAACCCACUCCAGUAUUCUUGCCUGAAGAAUCCCAUGGACAGAGGAGCCUGGUGGACACAGUACAUAGAGUCACAAAGAGUCGGACACGACUGAGCUGCAAGCAGCAGGCUAUGUUAGGAUGGUUGACUUUCUUCAUUGCUUGGUGCUUACUUCCC